UCCCUGGUGGCUCAGACGGUAAAGCAUCUGCCUGUAAGCAGGAGACCCAGGUUCGAUCCCUGGGUCGGGAA
This 71-nucleotide transfer RNA is filed under the name Bos taurus (domestic cattle). It matches the Rfam family "tRNA". Rfam says of the family: Transfer RNA (tRNA) molecules are approximately 80 nucleotides in length. Their secondary structure includes four short double-helical elements and three loops (D, anti-codon, and T loops). Further hydrogen bonds mediate the characteristic L-shaped molecular structure. tRNAs have two regions of fundamental functional importance: the anti-codon, which is responsible for specific mRNA codon recognition, and the 3' end, to which the tRNAs corresponding amino acid is attached (by aminoacyl-tRNA synthetases). tRNAs cope with the degeneracy of the genetic code in two manners: having more than one tRNA (with a specific anti-codon) for a particular amino acid; and 'wobble' base-pairing, i.e. permitting non-standard base-pairing at the 3rd anti-codon position. The record is from Rfam by way of RNAcentral. Lineage: Eukaryota; Metazoa; Chordata; Mammalia; Artiodactyla; Bovidae. RNAcentral also lists the same sequence under 1 other name.